RNAcentral lists this long non-coding RNA (526 nucleotides) under Androctonus crassicauda. The record is from RNAcentral. Lineage: Eukaryota; Metazoa; Arthropoda; Arachnida; Scorpiones; Buthidae.
GACAAUUUCUCUCAACAUAACAGCUAUAUCCAUGACAUCAGGAACAUAUUCUAGCAUGAAUCUAUAUAACAUCAACGCUGCCGGGGCUUGCUCCAAUGAUGGGUACAGAACAUCAAAGUCUAUAACAGUAUAUGUCUCCUCUGAUAGUGGGCCUACUUCUAGCAGCUUGUCCAGAAAUUCCAAUAAUGAUGCAACUGUAUAUAAAUAGCCCUUCAAGUGCAUUAGAGCCCAUGUUGCUAUUGCCUUUUCUAACUGAUACAAGGGCGAAGACGUCUUGUCCAUCAUCAGUCUUAGCACUACAGGCGUCGUGUGCAAUUUCACAUAUCCGAACAGUCUAGGAGCAUAUACAUUAGCACUGUAUGGCCCUGGGAUGGUAGGAAAUGACAUAGGCUUAAAAUCUUCCUGCAGUGGGAGUGUGUAAGGCACGGAUAAGGAUGAGUAAUGAGACUUAAAUGACACGGGUAUAGAGACUACAUUUGUAUAAAAAGCAACUUCCUUUAUUAGAGAGAGAGUAUUUUACAGUACA